Molecule: ribosomal RNA, 468 nt
Filed under: uncultured bacterium
Lineage: Bacteria
Description: partial 16S ribosomal RNA
Rfam family: Bacterial small subunit ribosomal RNA
Source: RNAcentral
GGGGGGGGGGGGGGGCGGGCGUGGGGCGGGCAGGGCGAGCGGAAGGGCCCGGCGUUGGUGGGGUGCUCGAGUGGCGAACGGGUGAGUAACACGUGAGUAACCUGCCCUUGACUUUGGGAUAACUUCAGGAAACUGGGGCUAAUACCGGAUAGGAGCUCCUGCUGCAUGGUGGGGGUUGGAAAGUUUCGGCGGUUGGGGAUGGACUCGCGGCUUAUCAGCUUGUUGGUGGGGUAGUGGCUUACCAAGGCUUUGACGGGUAGCCGGCCUGAGAGGGUGACCGGCCACAUUGGGACUGAGAUAGGGCCCAGACUCCUACGGGAGGCAGCAGUGGGGAAUAUUGCACAAUGGGCGGAAGCCUGAUGCAGCAACGCCGCGUGCGGGAUGACGGCCUGCGGGUUGUAAACCGCUUUCGCCUGUGACGAAGCGUGAGUGACGGUAAUGGGUAAAGAAGCACCGGCUAACUACGUG